GACUCUCUGUGUGUGUGUCUCCCUCCCUCCCUCUCUCCCUCCCUCUCUCUCUCUCUCGCAGCAGCAGCAGCAGCAGCAGCAGCCCCCGCCGCCGCCCCCCCAGCAGCAGCAAGCUCAGCCCCCUCCCCAGCAGCCCCAGCAGCAGCCGCAGGUUGCCCCCGUCCCACAGCCCCAGGCCCAGGGGCAGCCUCCGGGGCUGGGCAUGCAGGCCCUCGCUCCCCAGCAGCCGAUCUUCCAGCGGCAGGGCCUGCAGCAGACGCAGCAGCAGCAGCAGACGGCCGCCCUCGUCCGGCAGCUCCAGCAGCAGCUUUCCAAUACGCAGCCGCAGCAGAGCAGCAACCCCUUCGGGCGAUACUGAGGCCCCGCGAGAGAGCAGGCCUUGCCGUGGACUGGAGAGGGCCGGGGCCCGGGGCCCGGGCAGUUCAGCUCCCACUCCCGGGGGCCCCUGCCCUGCAGCAGCACCCGACAUCUGGGCCAAGAGAGGGUUUUAUCAUGUCGAACGAGUAUUUUUAACCGCCACUUUCUACCAGUGUUUCCAAAUCCUGUGUGAUUGCCAGAGUCUCCCUUCCCACUUUGAUUUCAGGUUUUAAUAAGUUUUUAGUAUUUUUGUUAAAAUAAUGACAAAAACAAAUUGUAAGAUUUUAUACUUUAUUUAUACCGGAUGAAACCCUGUAUCGCAGAUGUCCUGAAACAAAUACAGAGCAUACUUUCCAGAAGGGACCGC
Molecule: long non-coding RNA, 724 nt
Filed under: Varanus komodoensis (Komodo dragon)
Lineage: Eukaryota; Metazoa; Chordata; Lepidosauria; Squamata; Varanidae
Description: lncRNA (ENSVKKG00000003451.1)
Source: RNAcentral